This 271-nucleotide ribosomal RNA is filed under the name uncultured prokaryote. RNAcentral's name for it is "partial 16S ribosomal RNA". It matches the Rfam family "Bacterial small subunit ribosomal RNA", at positions 524 to 794 of the family's 1533-position model. The record is from RNAcentral.
UACGUAGGGGGCAAGCGUUAUCCGGAUUUACUGGGUGUAAAGGGAGCGUAGGUGGCAAAGUAAGUCAGAUGUGAAAGCCCGUGGCUUAACUGCGGGAUUGCAUCAGAAACUGCUUUGCUAGAGUGCAGGAGAGGUAAGUGGAUUCCUAGUGUAGCGGUGAAAUGCGUAGAUAUUAGGAGGAACACCGGCGGCGAAGGCGGCUUGCUGGACGGCAACUGACGUUGAGGCUCGAAAGCGUGGGUAGCAAACAGGAUUAGGAUACCCCGGUAGU